This 120-nucleotide microRNA precursor is filed under the name Beta vulgaris subsp. vulgaris (sugar beet). RNAcentral's name for it is "pre miRNA MIR1446". Lineage: Eukaryota; Viridiplantae; Streptophyta; Magnoliopsida; Caryophyllales; Amaranthaceae. The record is from RNAcentral.
CCCACCCGUUCUGCACCCAAACCCCCACCCCUGUCAAUAUUCGUGAAGUCGAACAGCCGACAAGCCGAUACGAGCCCAAAAAUCAACGGGGGUGGGGGGUUUGGGUGCAGAAUGGGUGGG